RNAcentral lists this ribosomal RNA (904 nucleotides) under uncultured bacterium. Its description in RNAcentral is "bacterial SSU rRNA". It matches the Rfam family "Bacterial small subunit ribosomal RNA", at positions 8 to 916 of the family's 1533-position model. The record is from RNAcentral.
AGAGUUUGAUCAUGGCUCAGGAUGAACGCUAGCGGCAGGCCUAACACAUGCAAGUCGAGGGGUAGAGCACUUCGGUGCUUGAGACCGGCGCACGGGUGCGUAACGCGUAUGCAAUCUACCUUAUACUAAGGGAUAGCCCAGAGAAAUUUGGAUUAAUACCUUAUAGUUAAUUUAGUUGGCAUCAAUUGAAUUAUAAAGAUUUAUUGGUAUAAGAUGAGCAUGCGUCCCAUUAGUUAGUUGGUAAGGUAACGGCUUACCAAGACGAUGAUGGGUAGGGGUCCUGAGAGGGAGAUCCCCCACACUGGUACUGAGACACGGACCAGACUCCUACGGGAGGCAGCAGUGAGGAAUAUUGGACAAUGGGCGCAAGCCUGAUCCAGCCAUGCCGCGUGCAGGAUGAAGCAUCUAUGGUGUGUAAACUGCUUUUGUACGGGAAGAAAAAAAGCUACGUGUAGCUUACUGACGGUACCGUAAGAAUAAGGAUCGGCUAACUCCGUGCCAGCAGCCGCGGUAAUACGGAGGAUCCAAGCGUUAUCCGGAAUCAUUGGGUUUAAAGGGUCCGUAGGCGGCCUUAUAAGUCAGCGGUGAAAGUUUUUGGCUUAACCAAAAAAUUGCCAUUGAUACUGUAGGGCUUGAAUGUUUGUGAAGUAACUAGAAUAUGUAGUGUAGCGGUGAAAUGCUUAGAUAUUACAUGGAAUACCAAUUGCGAAGGCAGGUUACUAACAAAUGAUUGACGCUGAUGGACGAAAGCGUGGGUAGCGAACAGGAUUAGAUACCCUGGUAGUCCACGCCGUAAACGAUGGAUACUAGCUGUUUGGGAGUAAUUCUGAGUGGCUAAGCGAAAGUGAUAAGUAUCCCACCUGGGGAGUACGGGCGCAAGCCUGAAACUCAAAUGAAUUGACGG